GACGAACGCUGGCGGCGUGCUUAACACAUGCAAGUCGAACGGAAAGGCCCUGCUUUUGUGGGGUGCUCGAGUGGCGAACGGGUGAGUAACACGUGAGUAACCUGCCCUUGACUUUGGGAUAACUUCAGGAAACUGGGGCUAAUACCGGAUAGGAGCUCCUGCUGCAUGGUGGGGGUUGGAAAGUUUCGGCGGUUGGGGAUGGACUCGCGGCUUAUCAGCUUGUUGGUGGGGUAGUGGCUUACCAAGGCUUUGACGGGUAGCCGGCCUGAGAGGGUGACCGGCCACAUUGGGACUGAGAUACGGCCCAGACUCAUACGGGAGGCAGCAGUGGGGACUAUUGCGCGCUGGGCGGAAGCCUGAUGCAGCAACGCCGCGUGCGGGAUGACGGCCUUCGGGUUGUAAACCGCUUUCGCCUGUGACGAAGCGUGAGUGACGGUAAUGGGUAAAGAAGCACCGGCUAACUACGU
RNAcentral lists this ribosomal RNA (467 nucleotides) under uncultured bacterium. Its description in RNAcentral is "partial 16S ribosomal RNA". It matches the Rfam family "Bacterial small subunit ribosomal RNA", at positions 28 to 506 of the family's 1533-position model. The record is from RNAcentral.